Caenorhabditis elegans is the source of this 129-nucleotide non-coding RNA. The record is from Ensembl. Lineage: Eukaryota; Metazoa; Nematoda; Chromadorea; Rhabditida; Rhabditidae.
CUUUUCCAAUUCCUUUUUCAUUCUACCAUUCCCAAUUCAAUUCUCAUCUUUGUGGCCGAUCUCUAUUCUCUUAACGGUGGCUAACCUUCACACGUGUUUUAUGUCUAUCGCUUCGAGGAAGUCGUCGCU